UGUCUGGGAAACUGCCUGAUGGAGGGGGAUAACUACUGGAAACGGUAGCUAAUACCGCAUAACGUCGCAAGACCAAAGAGGGGGACCUUCGGGCCUCUUGCCAUCGGAUGUGCCCAGAUGGGAUUAGCUAGUAGGUGGGGUAACGGCUCACCUAGGCGACGAUCCCUAGCUGGUCUGAGAGGAUGACCAGCCACACUGGAACUGAGACACGGUCCAGACUCCUACGGGAGGCAGCAGUGGGGAAUAUUGCACAAUGGGCGCAAGCCUGAUGCAGCCAUGCCGCGUGUAUGAAGAAGGCCUUCGGGUUGUAAAGUACUUUCAGCGGGGAGGAAGGGAGUAAAGUUAAUACCUUUACUCAUUGACGUUACCCGCAGAAGAAGCACCGGCUAACUCCGUGCCAGCAGCCGCGGUAAUACGGAGGGUGCAAGCGUUAAUCGGAAUUACUGGGCGUAAAGCGCACGCAG
RNAcentral lists this ribosomal RNA (464 nucleotides) under Escherichia coli. RNAcentral's name for it is "bacterial SSU rRNA". It matches the Rfam family "Bacterial small subunit ribosomal RNA", at positions 114 to 574 of the family's 1533-position model. Lineage: Bacteria; Pseudomonadati; Pseudomonadota; Gammaproteobacteria; Enterobacterales; Enterobacteriaceae. The record is from RNAcentral.